UACAGAGGGUGCUAGCGUUGUUCGGAAUCAUUGGGCGUAAAGGGCGUGUAGGCGGUUUGUUAAGUCAUGUGUGAAAUCCCUCGGCUCAACCGGGGAACGACGCAUGAAACUGGCAAGCUAGAGUACCAAAGAGGGGGGUGGAAUUCCCGGUGUAGCGGUAAUAUGCGUAGAUAUCGGGAGGAACACCAGUGGCGAAGGCGGCUCUCUGGGGUAUUGCUGACGCUGAGGCACGAAAGCGUGGGGAGCAAACAGG
Molecule: ribosomal RNA, 253 nt
Filed under: uncultured bacterium
Lineage: Bacteria
Description: partial 16S ribosomal RNA
Rfam family: Bacterial small subunit ribosomal RNA
Source: RNAcentral